RNAcentral lists this ribosomal RNA (378 nucleotides) under Liogonyleptoides sp. MZSP 72955. RNAcentral's name for it is "partial small subunit ribosomal RNA". The record is from RNAcentral. Lineage: Eukaryota; Metazoa; Arthropoda; Arachnida; Opiliones; Gonyleptidae.
GAUACCCUAGUAUAAAAGAUAAGAUUGAGGAUUAGUAUUUUAGGAAAUUAAUAAUUUUUGGUGGUUACUUGUUAAUUAGAGGAGCUUGUUUAUAGAAUUAACUCUUUAUAUUUUAUUAAUAAGUAAUUUAUUCAUCUCCGUUAAAAAUUAAAAUAGUUUAAGAUAAAUAUUUAUAAAAUUUCAGGUCAAGAUGUAAUUUUUAUUAAGGAAAGAUUAGCUAUAAUUAUGUAAUUAAUGGAAAAUUUUUUAUAAUAAAUUUAGGAUGAAAAAUUGGAAUUUAAUUUAAUUGUAAUAUUGAUUAGAAAAUUAAUAUGAAAAUUUAUACAACUAAUAUACAUAUUGCCCGUCACUUCUAUUUUUAUAGAAUAAGUCGUAACA